UUUUUUUUCCUUAAGUCUGGAGCAGAAAGGACCCACUGUUGGGGAGAGGUUAGUCUAUUACUUAAAGAGCAGCAGUCAUUAGUAGGUCCUGUGACAGAUGAUUACGCAAAGUAUCUAGACUUCACAACUAUCCUAUAGAGUAGCUAUCAUUUCCAUUUUAUUCUUGAGGAAAUGGGUUCAGAGAGGUUUAGAAACUUGCCCAAAGUCAGAGUAUAUACAAAGCCAUCUACAAGAAUUAUCCUUUAUCUCUCAAGAGAAUUCUAGAAUUCAUGUGUUAUUAGUAUAAGUACAAUGAAUGCAAUGCCAGUAAAUAAAAUGGAAUGAAAAGUCUGUUAUUAAAUUGGAGAAACAAAAGAAUCUUCAAGAAAAAUACAGCUAAGAGAUUCAAAAUUUAAAGCAUUUACCAUCCUUUCUGAAUGACACUUUAACUUAUAAUCUGAAUAGAAAAUAGUGGGAAGGAGUUCCUGUCGUGGUUCAGUGGUUAACGAAACCAACUAGGAACCAUGAGGUUGUGGGUUCAACCCCUGGCCUCACUCAGUGGGUUAAGGAUCUGGCAUUGCUGUGAGCUGUGGUGUAGGCCACAGAUGAAGCUUAGAUCCCACGUUGCUGUGGCUCUGGUGUAGCCCUGCGGUUACAGCUCCGAUCAGACCCCUAGCCUGGGAACUUCCAUAUGCUAGGGAGAAAGCAAAAGUACUGAGGCUACUUAUUAAUUAAGUGACCCUGGCAGAAUCAUCACCUCUCUAAAUCUGUUUUCUUGUCAGCAAAAUAGUGAUCACAAGCCCUGCCAGGGUUAUGAAGACAAUUAAAUGAGACACAUUACAUAAGGGCUUGGUGGAAAUAAAUACUUAAAAUAUAGCUGUUUUUAAUAAGUUCUGUCAAAAGCUUGAGGGAAUUCAUUGUUAUAUGAUCAACACUGAAAAAAAAAUCUUGCAUUUUGAGAGAGAAUGGAAUAUUUUAAAAGGCUACUACCAAUUUCUGUGUGGAGAAAUAUUUUUGCCUUACACUGACCAAAAAAGACUGGACAAAAAGAACAAGUAAAAGAAGCAGGUGCUUUUCUAAGAGACAUUCCUUAGGAUCUCAGUUGAAAGGUAAGUACAAGGCAAGUUUCUUGAGCCUAACCCACACCAGGGUUCCUGUGCACCUAAGUAAGCCACCUCUACCUAAUGUUGAGGAUGACUGGAUGGCUUAAGGGACCUAAAUGCAAUCUUUGCAAAAAUAUCUCUGAUUAUAGUAUGUUUAGAAUCACUAGCAUCCCAGGAAAAGACAAGAAUAUGAGGAUUUUUAAGAGAUUCCUAUUGCUAAAGGAAUCCUAGAACUCAAAAUUGGAAAUGACCUUAUCCAAUAAAAAAAAAAUCAUAUGAAUUGCAAAACAAUAUAGAAAGCUGUGUUCAAAGUUGUUAUUGAAACCUCUAACACUUCAAAGAACCAAAUGUGUCUUUCAUUAAAAAGAAGCACACAAUGUAGUGUAAAUGAAGCACUGACGGCUGACUGUGCAAAGAUGGUUCUCUACAUGAACCAAGUUCAGUCGGUAUAUUCUCUUCUCAAAGACCAAGGUUCUAGUCCUAGUUAAUCAUCUGAAAAGAACUGUCUUAGGUGAUACAGUGUUCAGGUGAAAUUGUGGAUAAACUAGUAUAGCCACUUCUCAUUGCUGGAACACAGGCUUCUAGAAGAGUAUUCUAAAUUGUGAAGAGGAAGGUGAGUUAGAAGAAAUGGGUUUUACUUCCAACUCUGCUA
Molecule: long non-coding RNA, 1734 nt
Filed under: Sus scrofa (pig)
Lineage: Eukaryota; Metazoa; Chordata; Mammalia; Artiodactyla; Suidae
Description: lncRNA (ENSSSCG00025012755.1)
Source: RNAcentral